Mus musculus (house mouse) is the source of this 644-nucleotide long non-coding RNA. RefSeq annotates it as predicted gene, 53544. The record is from RefSeq and is a predicted model, not a curated record. NCBI's taxonomy places the organism in Eukaryota, Metazoa, Chordata, Mammalia, Rodentia, Muridae. The transcript has 2 exons.
UAAUCCCAGCACUCGGGACUCAGACAGGUGAGUUCAAGGUCAGCUUGGUCUACAGAGGGGGUUCCAGGACUGUUAAGGCUGCAGAGAGAAGCCCUGUUGGGGGGAGGGGAACCCUGAACAAACAGUGGUCAGCUUUCCCCUCCGAGUCUGAUUUGGCGUCAGCUCUAGCCGAACAAUGACGAGGAAAUGACAGAAGGAAAUGACAGGGACAGAAUGGAAAGACAGCUGCAGGAUCUGGUCCUCUGGCUUGAUUGUUUCCUUUCCAAACAAAGUAGAACCGCGGAACUAGGGAGCAAACCGGAAAAGAACAGGACCUUCAGGAGGGUGGGCUGAGAAGAUGACUGACAGGCUCCACAGAGCGAGAUGGUUGCCAGAGACCAAUCGAACUUUCUGGGGCUCAAGAGAUGGCUCGGAGGUGAAGAGAGCUAAGAGGUUAAGAUCUUCAAGAGGAAUCUGGUUCAAUUCCCAGCACCCACAUGGCAGUUCACAGCUGUCUGCAGCUUCAAGGAUCUCACUUCAAGGAUACCAUCAAGAUAGUACAGCAAGCAGUUUUACAGCCUGAACCAUCUUGCUGACCCUGUUUGUUUUUGCCAUGGCAGGAGGAGUCUAUCUAUGUAACCUAUAAAAGCCUAUGCAAUCUGUUG